CCGAGCUUCUACAGUAAGCGGCUUCCUUUUGGACUUCUGCAAGAAUCGGACUCCGUCCGAACUUCUACAGCGGAUGGAUUUCAGACGAACUUCUACAACGGAUGAGCUCCAGCAGUUGGAUUUCUACAGUAACCGACUGUCUCCGGUGUCUUCCGUACAUCUCCAGCCUUCAACCUUCAACAAUGCCAACCAGACCCCUCCAACGGAUAAAUUCUCUCCAGACCCCUCCAGCAGUCGACCUUCCACAGUGUCCUCCAGACUCCUUCAACGGAUGAACUUUCACAACACCUUCCAGACUCUUCUAUCGAUCAACCUUCUAUAGCACCUUUCGAAUUUCGCUAUCGAUCGACCUUCUGUAGGAUUCCUCAUGCAACCGAACCUCUCCAGCGGAUAGUCUUCAGACAAGCUUUUACAUCAGACAAAUUUCAAACGGACUUCUCUAGCAAUCGAACUCCAGUCAGAUUCCUCCAACAGAAAGUUUUCAUCC
Molecule: long non-coding RNA, 487 nt
Filed under: Elaeis guineensis (African oil palm)
Lineage: Eukaryota; Viridiplantae; Streptophyta; Magnoliopsida; Arecales; Arecaceae
Description: long non-coding RNA (EGUI_LNC068644)
Source: RNAcentral